This 832-nucleotide ribosomal RNA is filed under the name Nonomuraea sp. IM-7116. Its description in RNAcentral is "bacterial SSU rRNA". It matches the Rfam family "Bacterial small subunit ribosomal RNA", at positions 38 to 889 of the family's 1533-position model. The record is from RNAcentral. Lineage: Bacteria; Bacillati; Actinomycetota; Actinomycetes; Streptosporangiales; Streptosporangiaceae.
GGCGGCGUGCUUAACACAUGCAAGUCGAGCGGAAAGGCCCUUCGGGGGUACUCGAGCGGCGAACGGGUGAGUAACACGUGAGUAACCUGCCCCUGACUCUGGGAUAAGCCCGGGAAACUGGGUCUAAUACCGGAUACGACCGCCCCCGGCAUCGGGUGGUGGUGGAAAGUUUUUUCGGUUGGGGAUGGACUCGCGGCCUAUCAGCUUGUUGGUGGGGUAGUGGCCUACCAAGGCGACGACGGGUAGCCGGCCUGAGAGGGCGACCGGCCACACUGGGACUGAGACACGGCCCAGACUCCUACGGGAGGCAGCAGUGGGGAAUAUUGCGCAAUGGGCGGAAGCCUGAGCCAGCGACGCCGCGUGGGGGAUGACGGCCUUCGGGUUGUAAACCUCUUUCAGCAGGGACGAAGUUGACGUGUACCUGCAGAAGAAGCGCCGGCUAACUACGUGCCAGCAGCCGCGGUAAUACGUAGGGCGCAAGCGUUGUCCGGAAUUAUUGGGCGUAAAGAGCUCGUAGGUGGCUGGUCGCGUCUGCCGUGAAAGCCCGCAGCUUAACUGCGGGUCUGCGGUGGAUACGGGCCGGCUAGAGGUAGGUAGGGGCAAGUGGAAUUCCUGGUGUAGCGGUGAAAUGCGCAGAUAUCAGGAGGAACACCGGUGGCGAAGGCGGCUUGCUGGGCCUUACCUGACGCUGAGGAGCGAAAGCGUGGGGAGCGAACAGGAUUAGAUACCCUGGUAGUCCACGCUGUAAACGUUGGGCGCUAGGUGUGGGGGUCUUCCACGAUCUCGUGCCGGAGCUAACGCAUUAAGCGCCCCGCCUGGGGAGUACGGCCGC